This is a long non-coding RNA of Caretta caretta (loggerhead turtle), 1469 nucleotides long. RefSeq lists it as uncharacterized. Lineage: Eukaryota; Metazoa; Chordata; Testudines; Cheloniidae. The record is from RefSeq and is a predicted model, not a curated record.
UUGUCUACCAGCAAUAGGAGCCAUUAUGACAUUGCACGUUCAACUGUCUGAAGCGAACCACUUGUGGACAAAGAUUCGCUCCUCUGUAACCGGGCUGGAGGCUAGUGGUUGCUCCUGGCUCGGUUAUUUCAGAAUCUGUAUUAGAUCCGGUAGCUCAGACAGUGACUCAGAGCCCUGGCGGGGCUGCCAGGGGGCAGAUAAAGGCAGAAGUAAAUGUAGCAGAUCGAUGUCGUUAGGGAGUGAAGGGCGGGCGGAGGGGGAAAACAGAUCAGAACACGCCCUAUUAACCUAAAUGUUGUAUUAUCAUUGUGGCCUACGGUCCUUCCCUUCAGGCUGCAGGAAGGGAAGUGGAGGUGGGGGGAGCAGAGGAAGAAACGCGUCAGAAGGUGACUGCUUUGUGGGAUCCGGGAAAUAAACACUAUGCAUCUCUCCCAGGCAGCAGCGAGCAAUGUGGUCUCUGUGUGUGUGUUCGUGUGACAAAGCCUAGCCGCCGUGAGCGAUCGCUCUCCUGCCUCAGCCAAGGGGGAGGAGAGGAGGAUAGAGGAAGUGAGGAGGUUUCUAAAUGUAGAGGCAUCGUAGCAGGUCCCAGACUGAGGGAGAAAGAGUCCAUCCAUUGGUAGGACGAUUCUGUUUAACCAGGUGGAACCGCGUUGCAGCGAGCACCUGUGUCUUUUUCGACAAGGCGUGUACUGAUAAUUAGAGCAGUUAAUUGCAUUUCCUUGAAGGUCCUUUGAAGUUACACGCUGGGUUUUCUUCUCGUGCUAGCAGACAGUGCAUUUGCUGUGUUUAAAAUGUAAAUCAGAGGGUAUCCGCAUAAACCUGUGUCAUGGGAUCGAGGCGUAAUGGAUUCACGUUGGCUGUGUCUGAGGCGAACAGUUCGGCUUUGGUUCUGCCUGCUCUCUUCGGGAUCCCGAUGGGGGAAGGGAGCGGUUGGCCAGAAGUCCCCUUCAAAGCAGGCAUGUGGGAGAGAGAUUGUCACCGCCUGACCGGAGCUGCAGGCAGGCGGAAAGAGUGCUGCGGGGGAGGUCUCACAGACAUGUUCUUGCGGGAAGAGCCCAGUCAAUUUGGCAUCUCUGCUGGGAGGAUUGCAAAGCUCUGAACAAAUAUCAGUUAUGCUCACAGCACACCUGUGAGUAUCAGCAAAGAUGACUUCACAACCCCUCUGGGUGAGGCCUGCUUGCUCCAUUUUCAUCACCCCAUGUGGUUGCAUGACCCUGUAAGAGGCAUUAUACCUGUCUGGGUCCCUUUUAUCUUAAAUCAUAAAAUAUGUGCACAAAUUGCCCCCAGACACUCUGUGAAUAGUCUUGACUCAGGGUUAUCGUGGGUCGUCUAGAAUUGGCAGUCAGCGGAGGAUGCAGUAACAAGAUUAGAGGCAUCUUGAAACCUUGUGGGAGAGGAGGGAUCCGGGAGAGAAAUUAAGAUGAAAAUUCUCCAUAAAUACUUGCACCUAAAAGAGCAAACAAAGUGGG